CCUUCCUUCCUUCCUCCCUUCCUUCCUUCCUUCCUUUUCCUUCCUUCCUCUUCCUUCCUUCCUUCCUUCCUUCCGUCCGUCCUUCCUUCCUUCCUUCCUUCCUUCCUCCCUUCCUUCCUUCCUUCCUUUUCCUUCCUUCCUCUUCCUUCCUUCCUUCCUUCCUUCCGUCCGUCCUUCCUUCCUUCCUUCCUUCCUUCCUCCCUUCCUUCCUUCCUUCCUUUUCCUUCCUUCCUCUUCCUUCCUUCCUUCCUUCCUUCCGUCCGUCCUUCCUUCCUUCCUUCCUUCCUUCCUCCCUUCCUUCCUUCCUUCCUUUUCCUUCCUUCCUCUUCCUUCCUUCCUUCCUUCCUUCCGUCCGUCCUUCCUUCCUUCCUUCCUUCCUUCCUCCCUUCCUUCCUUCCUUCCUUUUCCUUCCUUCCUCUUCCUUCCUUCCUUCCUUCCUUCCGUCCGUCCUUCCUUCCUUCCUUCCUUCCUUCCUCCCUUCCUUCCUUCCUUCCUUUUCCUUCCUUCCUCUUCCUUCCUUCCUUCCUUCCUUCCGUCCGUCCUUCCUUCCUUCCUUCCUUCCUUCCUCCCUUCCUUCCUUCCUUCCUUUUCCUUCCUUCCUCUUCCUUCCUUCCUUCCUUCCUUCCGUCCGUCCUUCCUUCCUUCCUUCCUUCCUUCCUCCCUUCCUUCCUUCCUUCCUUUUCCUUCCUUCCUCUUCCUUCCUUCCUUCCUUCCUUCCGUCCGUCCUUCCUUCCUUCCUUCCUUCCUUCCUCCCUUCCUUCCUUCCUUCCUUUUCCUUCCUUCCUCUUCCUUCCUUCCUUCCUUCCUUCCUUCCCUCCGCUUUCCCCGCUGGCUGCUUUCAUCCCAGCCCCAGCCUCGGCUUCUGCACCUUCCUUCCCCCACGGUUUUCUCCUCUCGCUGCUGCUGCUGCUGCUGCUCCUGGUGGCCUCCCUCCCAGAUGGACACCCAGCCUUGCAGCUUUGUUGCUGUGGAAAUGGAUUGGAGAGAAUUAGAAGACAGUGCAAGGGACAAGAGGGGAGGAGGCCAUGACGGAUGCUCAGGGUCAGGGCUGUGGAAGAGAGGGGCAGGGAGGCAGAGUUUGAGAAAGGCGCUCCCAAGUCCCAGAGCCCCUCAGCCAGGAGG
Molecule: long non-coding RNA, 1122 nt
Filed under: Pogona vitticeps (central bearded dragon)
Lineage: Eukaryota; Metazoa; Chordata; Lepidosauria; Squamata; Agamidae
Description: lncRNA (ENSPVIG00000012132.1)
Source: RNAcentral